GGCCUGCUAGCUCAGUCGGUUAGAGCGUCGUGCUAAUAACGCGAAGGUCGUAGGUUCGAUCCCUGAGCAGGCCA
Molecule: transfer RNA, 74 nt
Filed under: Rhipicephalus sanguineus (brown dog tick)
Lineage: Eukaryota; Metazoa; Arthropoda; Arachnida; Ixodida; Ixodidae
Also listed under: 1 other name
Description: transfer RNA isoleucine (anticodon AAU)
Rfam family: tRNA
About the family: Transfer RNA (tRNA) molecules are approximately 80 nucleotides in length. Their secondary structure includes four short double-helical elements and three loops (D, anti-codon, and T loops).
Source: Rfam by way of RNAcentral